RNAcentral lists this ribosomal RNA (253 nucleotides) under uncultured bacterium. Its description in RNAcentral is "partial 16S ribosomal RNA". It matches the Rfam family "Bacterial small subunit ribosomal RNA", at positions 524 to 776 of the family's 1533-position model. The record is from RNAcentral.
UACGGAGGGUGCAAGCGUUAUCCGGAUUUACUGGGUUUAAAGGGUGCGUAGGUGGGUUUGUAAGUCAGUGGUGAAAUCUUCGAGCUUAACUCGGAAACUGCCAUUGAUACUAUAGGUCUUGAAUUAUCUGGAGGUGAGCGGAAUAUGUCAUGUAGCGGUGAAAUGCUUAGAUAUGACAUAGAACACCAAUUGCGAAGGCAGCUCACUACGGAUAUAUUGACACUGAGGCACGAAAUCGUGGGUAUCAAACAGG